GUCCUAGCCCUAAACGGUGCACGUUUGCUGUGAGAGGAAUCGACCCCUUUCGUGGCGAAGCUAACGCGUUAAACGUGCCGCCUGGGAAGUACGGCCGCAAGGUUAAAACUCAAAGAAAUUGACGGGGGCCUGCACAAGCGGUGGAGUAUGUGGCUUAAUUCGAUGCAACGCGAAGAACCUUACCUGGCCUUGACAUGUAGGUGGUAGAAGCCUGAAAGGGUGACGACCCCGCAAGGGGAGCCUACACAGGUGCUGCAUGGCUGUCGU
Molecule: ribosomal RNA, 267 nt
Filed under: uncultured bacterium
Lineage: Bacteria
Description: partial 16S ribosomal RNA
Rfam family: Bacterial small subunit ribosomal RNA
Source: RNAcentral